RNAcentral lists this ribosomal RNA (497 nucleotides) under uncultured bacterium. RNAcentral describes it as "partial 16S ribosomal RNA". It matches the Rfam family "Bacterial small subunit ribosomal RNA", at positions 28 to 507 of the family's 1533-position model. The record is from RNAcentral.
GAUGAACGCUUUCUUCUUUCCUAAUACAUGCAAGUCGAGCGAACGGACGAGAAGCUUGCUUCUCUGAUGUUAGCGGCGGACGGGUGAGUAGCACGUGGAUAACCUACCUAUAAGACUGGGAUAACUUCGGGAAACCGGAGCUAAUACCGGAUAAUAUUUUGAACCGCAUGGUUCAAAAGUGAAAGACGGUCUUGCUGUCACUUAUAGAUGGAUCCGCGCUGCAUUAGCUAGUUGGUAAGGUAACGGCUUACCAAGGCAACGAUGCAUAGCCGACCUGAGAGGGUGAUCGGCCACACUGGAACUGAGACACGGUCCAGACUCCUACGGGAGGCAGCAGUAGGGAAUCUUCCGCAAUGGGCGAAAGCCUGACGGAGCAACGCCGCGUGAGUGAUGAAGGUCUUCGGAUCGUAAAACUCUGUUAUUAGGGAAGAACAUAUGUGUAAGUAACUGUGCACAUCUUGACGGUACCUAAUCAGAAAGCCACGGCUAACUACGUG